GUCCCCUGCUCACCCGGUGGCAAAGCCGGCGAGGAGGCGGCGGCGCUGGUGGGGACUGACCCGGCAGUCCGAGAAUCCACCGCGGCCUUUUCACCCAACCGCCCCCUCCUGCGUGGGGGCCCCGCAUCCCCUGGACUGGCGUGGGCUCUGGGGCCCGAUGCCCUGGCAGCCCCGGCCAUCUCUGCCGCUGGCCGCGGGUACCUGCUCACCUGUCCACGCCGUGGCCGACCCGGGGAUCACCGACAGCCGGGCCAUGCCUCGAGUCCCGCCGCCCGCGCCGCUGCUCGGCUUCUCAGAAACGCACCUCCACGCCGCCAGCCGGGGCUCCAGGGUCCACCGCCCGGGCCCGGAGGACUGGCGACUCCCUCCGAGGUUGGGAGCGCUCCGGAUUUCUCCAACUUCAGGUCGGUCCCCACCCACCGGGCCACGUGACUGGGGAGGGGGCAGCCGGUGCAGGCGUGUGGAGGAGGCUUUCGGGACCUCCUCCCCCGGGCACCCUCUGCCUGCAGCCCGGCACCCGGCCCGCGUUUCCGAGCCGGGGGAGCAGGUGCAGUCGGAAGCCCGCGGGUGGGCGUGGGGCGGGGGAGUGGCGAGGGUCCCCCGCCUCCGCGGGAGCGCACGCGGCUGCGAGCCCUACACCUGCUCUCCGACCAAAGAAGCACCUGUUUUUCUCAAUAAGUGCUAGGGCUUACCAUCUAAAGGAUCGUUCACCAUCCCUCCAGCGUCCUUAGUAGGAGCGAUUGGAACCCGUUUUUCUUCCUGAAUAAUCCAUACUUUUAAGCCAUUCUAAUCGGGCCUUCAGGCAUCCUGGAUUCUGGUCUCGACAUUGUGAUUUGACACAAAUCACGUUUUCACUCUGGAAACCACAACUACUCCCUCCACCCCAUCACGCAGGAGCAGACCUGGAUAAGAAAUAUGUGCACUCUGCAAAGAACCAAUGAUAAAAGUAACAAUAUCGACGCUUACUGAGCCUUUACUAUGUGCCAGGUACUAGACUAGACACUUAAAAUGCAGUAUCUCAUUGGAUCCUGGCAACAGCUUGUAAGAUAGUAUUCUCAUCACCCCCAUUUUACAGGCAAAUACCUGAUACCUUCUGUCUGGCCUCCUGAAUGCUCCUUGGUUCCAUUCCAAUACGUUGUUCACUGUGCUGCCAGAGUAAUCUUCUCAAACGAUAAGUGUGAUCAUCUCACUUCCCUGCUAAGAGCACCUCAAAAGGCUUCCUAUUGCUCUUAGGAGAAACCCACAUUCUUGCAUGGUCUGCCUAGACCCUGCAUAUUCACUCUGUACUUCAGCCUCAUGGGCCUUCUUCCAGUUCCUUCCAGUCACCUGUUGCCAAAUGGCCUGCCUUUGACUGUCCUGUUCCCUCUGUGUGCAGUGCCCCCUCCUACCCUCUUCAGGAAACUCCUAUGCUUCUUCCAGACCUCAGCUCCAUUAUCAUUUCUUUAGGAAAGCCUUCUCUGACCUUCCAGAGAGAGUGAAGUCUCUCUAAUUAUAUACUAUCUAUCUCUUGGGCAUUUGACACUUUCUGUGGGGGUAGGGGUAGGGGGGUACUGGUUGUUGGAUUAAUAUUUGUCUCCUCCACUGAUUGGAACCUCCAGGAAGGUGACUGAACCCAUUUUUUGCUUAGCAUUGAUGCCCUAAUAUGCAGAGGGUUCUCAAAUACUAGUGAAAGGAUGGCAAAAAGUUAAGGUCGUACCAAAGAAAUCAAGUGGUAAAGCUGGCAUUUACUCCCAGAACCUGUGCUGGACUACCUAGACCUGGAGAGACUGGGUUUGGCCUCAUGAAGCUGCUUCUUUUACUCUGUUCUGCCUUCAACACUUGCCCCAGUUUCAAAGACUGUUUGUGGGAAAACAAAUACAGAAGGCUGCUCACUUGGCUUCAAGGAAGCCCCAGGGCUGGAUUCCUCCCUGUGUGCCCAUCCCCUACUUUCCCCUACACACGGAGGACAGAGUCUCUAGGAGACAGGUGGGAUUGCUGUUCACCUUCCAGUCCCCUGGCACACUUCCAGCAGUGAACAACAGUGGCUGCCCUGGCCCCUUCUGUCCCAUCACCUGGAUCCCUGCCUGAUCACUCCUCCAGGUGCAGAUCACCCAGGGAACAGUGAAAGUCAGCUUUGCCUUGUCCGUCUAGGAGAGGUGCCUCUGAGUUUGGCAAAGCAUCAGGGCAGGUCCAACAGUGAGGGCCCCUAGGGCUUGGGCUGGGACAGUGACUUUCCUCAGGGAGGAAGCCAGGCAGGUAGACACUCUCGGGGGGAGUUGGAAUCCCCACUCUCCAGGCUGCUCAGCUCAGACCUGCAGCCUUUUUUGCUGAGGAUGUCCUGACAGAAGAAAGGGGCUCUUUUCAGAGCUAGAUCCCCCUGGGAACACCAGGAAGCUGAAUCUCUCUAGUUGAACUGGAAUUUGCCCAUAUCAAGUGUUGCUGAAAAAUAAAUGGUGCCCGACUGGAACUGGGAAUCUUUUUGUGAAUUCAGAGCCCUUUGGUGUAGUGGGAUUUGUGUUCUGCAGUUGGGUCUGUGGCUGCAAUACCUGUUGGUCCCCUCACCUGUCUGAGACCUUCCUUGGACAGACUGAUACCAUCACUGCCCUCAAGGUUCAGUGUGGUGAGGCCAGCUCCUUCCUCCCCCCACACAUUAUGAGUAUUCGCAGACUACAGACUGCCUGCUUAAUUUAAGGAGAGUUAUCUCUGGGUGGUUUAUCCUGUUUGCCCAAAUGACUUUGAGUAAAUCACUUCCUACCUCUGAGCCUCAGUUUCCAUAUCUGUAAAAUGGAUGUAGUGAGACUGCAUAUACAAUUGUGCUUUGUAAACUCUCUAGGGCUGUACCAACAGAAAAGAUUAUUAUUAAUUCUCCAUAUAGCCAAUCAACGUCCCCUGCCUCAUUGACCCAUCUUGGAGGAAGUAACAUACAAUAUGGUUGUUAAAAACACAGGUUUUGGAGUCUAAUACACUAGAUUUGAAUCCCUGCUCUGCUGCUUACUAGCUAUGUGACUAGUUAGUUACUGCACCAUUGUGAGCUUUCAGUUCUUCAUCUAGAAAAUUGUGCCAAUAUCUCUACUUCUCAGGGCUGCUGUGAGAAAUAAAACGAUAGACAGUGUAAUACAUUGGUCAUGUAGCAUAGGCUCAGCAGAAGGUAGCAACCAUCAUUACCUGGAACAACUUCAGGAAAAACUGUAGGUUGCAGAACCCUCGAAUUGGGGCUGGCCUAUCCUUUCUCCAGGCUUCCCUACAGAGCUUCAGACAUGAAGCCAGACUUGAGUAUCUUACCCUAUCCCUAGAGCAGAGGCCUGCUGAGGCAGGGGCUGGCCAGCUCUCUUCCUCUCCUCAGUGUCUCCAGAUUCUGGACUUUCCAUGUGCAAUGGCUCUAUCCUAAAGUUCUCUGCAUCCUCCCUUGGCUGUUAUAGAAGACCUGUACUUGAAAAUCAUACUAGAAAAUCCAGUACUGUUUCAGUGUUAGAAUGCUAUUCACGUUAUUCUUCUUAUAAGUGACAGAUACCCAGUUGAAAAUUUCUUAUGUGAAAAUGCAAAUUUUUGGUCCCCUUAAUUUAAAAGUGCAGGGCUUCAGGCAUGGCUGGAUCCAAAGACUCAAAUGACAUUAUCACUGUGUUUCAGCUCUGCUUUCCUCUGAGCUGAUGCCCCUGUAGGCAGACCCUUCCUGUCUGAUGGCUAUUUGUGACUCUAGGCUUACAACCUAUUCUCCUAGCAACCCUCUUUUGGGUCUUCAGCUAACAGAGAGGCCUUUAAGAAUGAGAAACAGGAUGAGUGCUGAGGCUUGGAGGCCUAAAAAGUAGAGGAGAAGAGCAGAGGAUAAAGGGGAGACUGCCAAGAAAUUUUCCUCCCCAUUCCCUCCCUACCCAUGCAUAUUGCCCUUGGCCAUACCCUGAAGUCAGAAUGGCCACUCCUAGGACCCUCAUCAUGCACCACCCCAUCCUUAUAGCUGUAGGAUCCCUUUCCUCCUCAGAUGUCCUCACCACUACCCCAACCCCCUUUGGCAGGAAGAUUCUUCGAACAGCUAUCCAGAUGUGUGCCAGGAUCUCUGGCUACAUGGUACCCCUGACUUGGCACCCAGCUCUAAAAACUGUGUCUGCUUUGGCAGUUAAAGCAAAGAUAAGAGAUAUUUCUGUCCUCUUCCUUCAGAGUGAUUGCCAACAUCACCAUGACCUCAAGAAACAGGGCUGAUGGCAGCCCUGCUGGUGUUUUCCAAAGUUGCCUGGGUCUUUUGGAUCCAUUACAGUCACCAGUGAUUUGGUUUCAUUUCCCGGGAUGAGAACAGGCUUUGACCUCAACUCAGACAGCAAAAGAGGAGAAAUAAUGGAAAGAAAACAAACACCAGUAUCUGAAGGACGUGUGUCUGGUGGAAGUGGGGAAGUGAGGAGUCUAGGCUUAGCUUUGAAUCUGGUUCCACCCCUUGCUUGCUAUGGGACCUUGGCCAAGUUACUGAAGCUCUCUGAGCCUCAGUUUAUCCAUCUUGCAGGGUU
This 4472-nucleotide long non-coding RNA is filed under the name Homo sapiens (human). RNAcentral describes it as "non-protein coding lnc-AKIP1-2:9". Lineage: Eukaryota; Metazoa; Chordata; Mammalia; Primates; Hominidae. The record is from RNAcentral.